This 202-nucleotide long non-coding RNA is filed under the name Elaeis guineensis (African oil palm). RNAcentral's name for it is "long non-coding RNA (EGUI_LNC014900)". The record is from RNAcentral. Lineage: Eukaryota; Viridiplantae; Streptophyta; Magnoliopsida; Arecales; Arecaceae.
GAUUGUUCCAAUCUAUGUACAUCGAUAUCAUGUUGAAAUGGUUCAAUAUAAAGAAUUUUAAGAAAGGCUAUCUACCGAUAGGCCAUGAAAUUACUCUUUUCAAAAAAGAUUAUCCGACAAUCUCUCAAGAGAGAGAGAGCGUAUGAGUAGGAUCCCAUAUACUUUGGUAAUGAGAUCUAUCAUGUACGUCAUGACGUGUACA